Molecule: transfer RNA, 72 nt
Organism: Botryobasidium botryosum FD-172 SS1
Lineage: Eukaryota; Fungi; Basidiomycota; Agaricomycetes; Cantharellales; Botryobasidiaceae
Rfam family: tRNA
About the family: Transfer RNA (tRNA) molecules are approximately 80 nucleotides in length. Their secondary structure includes four short double-helical elements and three loops (D, anti-codon, and T loops). Further hydrogen bonds mediate the characteristic L-shaped molecular structure. tRNAs have two regions of fundamental functional importance: the anti-codon, which is responsible for specific mRNA codon recognition, and the 3' end, to which the tRNAs corresponding amino acid is attached (by aminoacyl-tRNA synthetases). tRNAs cope with the degeneracy of the genetic code in two manners: having more than one tRNA (with a specific anti-codon) for a particular amino acid; and 'wobble' base-pairing, i.e. permitting non-standard base-pairing at the 3rd anti-codon position.
Source: Rfam
GCGGUGGGAGCACGGUGGUUGUGCAGGGGAUUGCAGAUCCCAAGGUCAUGGGUUCAAAUCCCAUUCGCCGCU